Molecule: ribosomal RNA, 441 nt
Filed under: uncultured bacterium
Lineage: Bacteria
Description: partial 16S ribosomal RNA
Rfam family: Bacterial small subunit ribosomal RNA
Source: RNAcentral
CCUACGGGGGGCUGCAGUAGGGAAUUUUGCGCAAUGGGGGAAACCCUGACGCAGCAACGCCGCGUGAUUGAUGAAGCCCUUCGGGGUGUAAAGAUCUGUCAGAGGGGACGAAACUUGACGGUACCCACAGAGGAAGCAUCUGCUAACACCGUGCCAGCAGCCGCGGUAAUACGGGGGAUGCAAGCGUUGUCCGGAAUCAUUGGGCGUAAAGAGUUCGUGGGUGGCACGUUAAGUCUGGUGUUAAAUGCAUAGGCUCAAACUCUGUUCGGCACUGGAUACUGGCGAGCUUGAAUGCGGUAGAGGAGAAGGGAAUUCCUGGUGUAGCGGUGAAAUGCGGAGAUAUAAGGAGGAACAUCGGUGGCGUAAGCGCUUUACUGGGCCGUAAUUGACACUGAGGAACGAAAGCCAGGGUAGCAAAUGGGAUUAGAUACCCUUGUAGUC